CCUAUGGGUCUCUUCUCCUAUAGAGCAUCCCCUACUUCCUAUAUGUUUUCUCACUCUCUCACAUCAUUCUUUAGGGAACACUUUCCUAUUAAAGUAACAUUUUUGGUCUUUUUUAUUAUGAUUCUUUUGAUGAGAAAACAUUAUAGUUCAAGGAGCAUAUAUAUAAUUAUAUAUAGUAUAUAUGGGAGGUGUUGGUUGAAGAGGAGGCACUGGUGAUUGUUGUUGACAGAAGAUAGAGAGCACAGAUGAUGGUGUUGCAUAUGUGCAUGCAUCCCACUCCUUUGUGCUCUCUAUGCUUCUGUCAUCAUCACCUGUCAUCAUCACAUUUCUUCUGUGCAUGUAUGGGUUUUUUAUUUUUAUUUUUUAUUUUUUUUGGUUCUUUCAGUUUGCAGAUUUAUUACAGGACUAAGAGGAUGAUGAUGAUCUUCGUCAUGUUAUAAACUAUCUAAUUUGAUCUUCAACAUAUGUGGCUUACGCACAAAUUUGAAGAUAAGUCUUGGUGAUGUUUUUGUCAAAACAAUUCGGAUGCUAUGCUUUUAUAUGCAUGUUAGAUAUUACCAUUAAAGUGAUUCCCCUUAUCCAAAGGUACCACUUGCUUGUGGAAAAUUCUAUGUUUUUAUCAAUGGUAUAAUAGAGAAUAACAUGUAUAUAUAAAUAUAGCCGACGUAUUCAUUUUCAUAUUCAUUUUUCGGCUCUUAUUGAUCCAUAUUCAGUACUACCACCGCUCCCUUGAAAAUUCAAGCUUGGAGAUGGAAUUGCAAUAUCUGCAUUAACGCUAAUUAAUUUCUUUUUAGUAUUUUUUCAUGUACAUUUUAUGAAAUAUGAUUAAAGUUAUGAUGAUUUGUAACGGUUCAUUUGGAAAGCGGAGAGUCAAAGGUGGAUUAAGAUCAUCAGGAUGUGGACGUUAGAGGAGAAGAGAGAUUUGGACUUCUCAAACAGUAAUAAUGGGAGCUUGGUUGCUGCAGCAUAUAUACAUUGGAUGUCAGCAGAUCAACCUUGUAUAUAUAUUUUUUCAUCUAAUUGUUCGAACAGUAUAAAUUCUACGCAUUGUUAUAGUUUAACCACAUGUAAUUAUCUAGUUCAUUUGAUAAUGCAUAAUAAUAUACUGUCAAUUUCAUCUCUUUAUAUAUA
Molecule: long non-coding RNA, 1131 nt
Organism: Gossypium arboreum
Lineage: Eukaryota; Viridiplantae; Streptophyta; Magnoliopsida; Malvales; Malvaceae
Exons: 3
Source: RefSeq, a predicted model, not a curated record